Molecule: long non-coding RNA, 3016 nt
Filed under: Lupinus mutabilis
Lineage: Eukaryota; Viridiplantae; Streptophyta; Magnoliopsida; Fabales; Fabaceae
Description: partial ncRNA
Source: RNAcentral
AUUAAAGAAAAAGAAGAGUUUUCAAAUAAUAAAUUGUUUCUAACCGUUUCCCACUACUGCCACGUGUCACCCAUGAGAUGCCAUAUUUUCCCGCUUUCUCAUCCUUGAUAUAACUGAGCUUCACUCCACAACAUUCUUGCUUUUUGCCAUCUCUCUUUGUAUCAGUUUCUCUCUCUAAAACUGUUUCAUAUUCUCCUUCUUCGCUCAAGCUUAUGAUCUUCAGAGAUUGAACUUCAACAAGAUACACGUUUUUCGUAUGAGCUUUGGAGAAUGAACUUCAACAAGAAACACGAUCUUUGGAGAAUGAAUUUCAAGAAGGUAUCUCCGUUCACUCACUUCUUUAUCCCUCACCGGAAUAUUCUUUUUAUGUUUCUUGUCUAACCAGAAAGAUGUUUUUUCGUAUGAUCCUCGGAGAUUGAACUUCAAGAAGGUAUCUCUGUCACCGUCUCCGUUUUUUCGUUUCUUUUUCUAUACACAUAUAUAUUUUAAAAUUUCAAAAAGCUGAUUAAAAUUAAAAGCUGAAAAAUAUAUUGAGAAAUAGUGAAGGAAUUAUGUUGAUCAUUUUGACAUGAUGACGUCGUUUGAUCCAUGUAGCUGACUCUACUCAUUGAAAUUAAGCCUUGGUUAUUGUAGACGAUGUGCAGCAGAAAUUUUGUGGCUUCUAACUAUAUCAUGAUGCGUUACUAUUAAUAUCUUCAAUGUUUUAUGGUACUGGCUGGAUUCUAUUUAUCUGAUCAUAACUGAGGAAGCCUAAUUUGUUUUAUGGUACUGGCAGGUUGAAGAUAGGAUUUAUGUUGAAGAUAUUACAGCUGAAUGUAAUAUUACAGAAAGACAGAUCAAGUUCUUGAAGAUGUGUCAUCUCCAUUUCAUGUCAUUGCUUGUGUCAAUUGUAUGCCAUACAUGCAGAACUAUUCUUAGUGAAAAGGUCUUUCAAACUUGACUUCCUUGAGUAUCAGGAAGAGCAGCACCGUCACACCUGAUGGAAUGUUCACUGUUCAGAGAAGUUGGACCUUGAUGGGUGUUCACUGUUCAGAGAUUCACAGUGGAUUUGUUCAUCUUCAAGCAUCGUGUGUGUUCAAGCUUUAAUAGUGGUAUCUGCAACUUGGUGAAGGAAGGUAAAGGAAGAACACAAUCACAUCUAAUCCCUAUGGUAGGAAAUAGUAGCUUCAACAUGACUCUGCCAACACUUGAAGGCAAGAAUUACGAAAGAUAACAUAUUCAAAUGAAUGUGCUCUUUGGGUGUUUUGCAAAAUGGCAUUGUUCAUGAUUCAUCAAUGCGUGAAUGAGUCGAAUUUUGAGAAGAUUGCAAGGCAUUGACUACAAAAGAAGCAUGGGACAUCCUUGAGAAAUGCUAUAUAGGGGAUGAGAAAGUGAAAUUGCAGACCUUGAGAAGAUAGUAUGAGUUGUUGAAAUGAGGGAGAGUGAUACAAUUGGUGAUUACUACACAAAGCUCAUAUCAUUGACAAAUUAUAUGAAGGGAUGUGGUGAGGCGACGGAAGAUCAAUUGGUGGUAGAAAAGGUGUUAAGAACACUCACCUCCAAGUUUGCUCAUGUGGUAGAUGCCAUAGAAGAAUGAAAAGAUCUUGAUAUACUCAAGAUUGAGGAUCUUUAAAGUUCCUUGGAAGUACAUGAACAUAGAAUCAAAGUAAAGAUUCAAGGUAGAGGAUCUGAACAAGCUCUUCAAGUUGAGUCUUGCAUAUCAAGGAAUUUUGGCUAAAGAAAUAUUCAAAGAAAGGCAUGCAUUUGAUUGAAGUGGAUGAUGAAGAGGAUAGUGAAGCAAUAUUGUGGUAAUGCUUGGCGUCUACUAUGGUGGCGUUGGGCGUUUGUUGUGGCGGUGUUGGGCGUCUGUGGCAACAUUUGGUGUAUGUCGUGGUGUUGGGCGUCUACGGCGGUGCUGGGAGUCUGUGGUGGUGUUGUGAGUGUGAGGCGACACUAGGUGUGUGAGGUGACGCUGGGCGUGUGAGGUGACGCUGGGCGUGUGAUGCAGCAUUGGGCGUCUACCAUGGUGUUGCUGAGCGUCUCUAGCAGCGUUGGGUGUUAGGCGGCACUGAGCGUGUAAACGGCUUUAAGAGUGUGAGGCGGUAGUGGGCGUUUGUCGUGGCGAUGAUGGACGUCUGCCAUGGCGGGAUUGGUGUUUGUGGCAGCUGUGGGCGUCUAGUGCAACUUUGGUCGUCUGUGGCAGAGCUGGGUGUUUGUGGUGGCGUUAGGCGUGUGAGGCGGCAUAAAGCGUGCGAGGUGACAAUGGGAGUGUGGCGGCGUUGGGUGUAAGGCUGCAUUGGGCGUGUAAGGCUGUGAUGGGUGUGAGGUGGCGAUGGGUGUGAGGCGAUGCUGGGCGUGUAAGGCGAUGAUGGGCGUGUAAGGUGACGCUGGGGUUCUAUGGUGGUGACAGUGGGUGUGUGAAGCGUUAGGCAUGUGAAGCGGCGAUGGGUGUAUGAGGCGACGCUGGGCGUCUAUGGUGGUGCUGAGCGUUUGUGGCGGUUUUGGGCGUCUGCCGUGGCAGUGAUGGGCAUCUGUCGUGGCAGUGAUGAGCGUCUAUUGAAGUGGCGAUGAGCGUCUGUCGUGACGACGUUGGGCGCCUAGGGGCGUUUGGGGCGUCGUUGGACGUGUGCGGCAGAGCUGGGCAUGUGAGGUAGCAAAGGGCAUUUGUGUCAGCGCCAAGCGUUUGAGGCCGUGGUGGGCGUGUGAGGCGACGUUGAGGGUCUGGGGCGACGCCGGGCGUCUGUGGCACUGCUAGGCGUUUGUGCUGGUGAAGUGCGGCUGUCGUGUCGACGAUGGGUGCUGUCGUCUGGGAGUCUGUGGCGGUGGUGGGCAUUUGUGGCGGAGGUGGGCGUGUAGUAAUGGUGGGCGUUUGUGGCAGGUGUGGACGUUUGUGGCAGCGGUGGGCGUGUGACGACGGUGGGCAUUUGGUACGACCUUGGUCGUGUCGCGGUUGGGCGUGUGAGGCGACAUAGGGCAUGUGAGGCGGCGGUGGGCGUGCGAGGCGGUAGUGGGUGUGGGAGGCGGCGAUGGGCGUGCG